GUGUCAGCAGCCGCGGUAAUACAGGGGGGGCAAGCGUUGUUCGGAAUUACUGGGCGUAAAGGGUUCGUAGGUGGCCACUUAAGUCAGACGUGAAAUCCCUCAGCUUAACUGGGGAACUGCGUCUGAUACUGAGUGGCUUGAGUGCAGGAGAGGAAUGCGGAAUUCCAGGUGUAGCGGUGAAAUGCGUAGAUAUCUGGAGGAACACCGGUGGCGAAGGCGGCAUUCUGGACUGUAACUGACACUGAGGAACGAAAGCCAGGGGAGCAAACGGGAUUAGAAACCCUCGUAGUCC
This 292-nucleotide ribosomal RNA is filed under the name uncultured bacterium. Its description in RNAcentral is "partial 16S ribosomal RNA". It matches the Rfam family "Bacterial small subunit ribosomal RNA", at positions 505 to 796 of the family's 1533-position model. The record is from RNAcentral.